Molecule: ribosomal RNA, 453 nt
Filed under: Triticum aestivum (bread wheat)
Lineage: Eukaryota; Viridiplantae; Streptophyta; Magnoliopsida; Poales; Poaceae
Description: partial small subunit ribosomal RNA
Source: RNAcentral
AUGAAGUCCUUGUAUGCGGUCAUUGCUCCAUCGACGGCCCUGAAACCGUUUAGCCUGAUAUGGGACAUCCGCCUUCCGCUGAAGAUCCGGAUCUUUCUGUGGCAAUGGAUCCGCGCGCGCCUCCCCUCUGGGAUCGAAGUACUCAAGCUUAAUGACCCGGGCAAUGGGCUCUGCCCCAUCUGUGGCACGAUCGAGGAUGCUAACCACAUCUUCUUCUCGUGCUCCACUGCCCAGUUCAUGUGGGCCUGCUUUCGCGAAACGGUCGGUGGCCAGUGGUGCAAUACCAACUUCCCUGACCUCCUUGCGAAGCUGACCGCCUCCCCUCCGCGCUACCGCCAUAUUAGAUGGCUGUGCGUUGGGAUCCUCGCCUGGACGCUUUGGAACAUUCGCAAAAAGCUUGUCAUUCAGAAGGUCCCUCUUCGACGUGCGACUGACGCUAUCUUCAAAAUGUGA